This is a long non-coding RNA of Oncorhynchus tshawytscha (Chinook salmon), 997 nucleotides long. The record is from Ensembl. Lineage: Eukaryota; Metazoa; Chordata; Actinopteri; Salmoniformes; Salmonidae.
CGAUAUUCCAGACCUCGGGACAUUUCAGACCCCGAGUUUCCGUCAUUUUUGUUGUUGUUGACAACAGAUAGAUUCUUAGAAGAAAAAAAUGAAAAUAGAAACACGUUAACUAAGUCAUUCAGAGAGAACAGCGUGAACAAGAGAGAGCACGUUUCAGUUAUCACUCAUUAGAACAGAUACGUGAGUGCAUCAUUUGUAUCAUUUAUAAAGAGCUACCUUACAGUGGACUUACAAACAAGUUCUACGGUCACCACAACCAUCCCGUCUAUAAGACCACAUGACGGGACACACUGUGGCUAUUGUGUGCGGGUGUGUCUCUGGGGCGAUAAUGAAAAACAGUUUGAGAUAAGGGCCAGAAAGACAUGCUGUUGGAGAGGACAAGAGGAAGAUGAAGGAGGGACACGCAGCAUGGACCUGAGCCCUAGGACCUGAGCUCCAGGACUACCUGACAUGAUGACUCCUUGCUGUCCCCAGUCCACCUGGCCAUGCUGCUGCUCUAGUUUCAACUUCCACCUGACUGUGCUGCUGCUCCAGUUUCAACUGUUCUGCCUUAUUAUUAUUCGACCAUGCUGGUCAUUUAUGAACAUUUGAACAUCUUGGCCAUGUUCUGUUAUAUAUAUCUCCACCCGGCACAGCCAGAAGAGGACUGGCCACCCCACAUAGCCUGGUUCCUCUCUAGGUUUCUUCCUAGGUUUUGGCCUUUCUAGGGAGUUUUUCCUAGCCACCGUGCUUCUACACCUGCAUUGCUUGCUGUUUGAGGUUUUAGGCUGGGUUUCUGUACAGCACUUUGAGAUAUCAGUUGAUGUACGAAGGGCUAUAUAAAUAAAUUUGAUUUGAUUUGAUCAGACCAGGACUGUGUCAGAUACAGCCCUCCCCAGGACCACUAAUCCAUUGACCAUGCUAGUAGCACACAGUGUGAAAUGAAUCAUCCCAAUGUGUGUAUAUAUGAUCAUCACAUACUGUCCCUGCUACUGCUAAUAUGUAUCAGUAAAAGUCA